GACGAACGCUGGCGGCGUGCUUAACACAUGCAAGUCGAACGGAAAGGCCCUGCUUUUGUGGGGUGCUCGAGUGGCGAAAGGGUGUGUAACACGUGAGUAACCCGCCCCUGACUUUGGGAUAACUUCAGGAAACUGGGGCUAAUACCGGAUAGGAGCUCCUGCUGCAUGGUGGGGGUUGGAAAGUUUCGGCGGUUGGGGAUGGACUCGCGGCUUAUCAGCUUGUUGGUGGGGUAGUGGCUUACCAAGGCUUUGACGGGUAGCCGGCCUGAGAGGGUGACCGGCCACAUUGGGACUGAGAUACGGCCCAGACUCCUACGGGAGGCAGCAGUGGGGAAUAUUGCACAAUGGGCGGAAGCCUGAUGCAGCAACGCCGCGUGCGGGAUGACGGCCUUCGGGUUGUAAACCGCUUUCGCCUGUGACGAAGCGUGAGUGACGGUAAUGGGUAAAGAAGCACCGGCUAACUACGUG
Molecule: ribosomal RNA, 468 nt
Filed under: uncultured bacterium
Lineage: Bacteria
Description: partial 16S ribosomal RNA
Rfam family: Bacterial small subunit ribosomal RNA
Source: RNAcentral